AGGCAGCAGUGGGGAAUAUUGCACAAUGGGCGCAAGCCUGAUGCAGCCAUGCCGCGUGUAUGAAGAAGGCCUUCGGGUUGUAAAGUACUUUCAGCAGUGAGGAAGGUGGGUAUGUUAAUAGCAUACUCAUUUGACGUUAGCUGCAGAAGAAGCACCGGCUAACUCCGUGCCAGCAGCCGCGGUAAUACGGAGGGUGCGAGCGUUAAUCGGAAUUACUGGGCGUAAAGCGCAUGCAGGUGGUUUGUUAAGUCAGAUGUGAAAGCCCGGGGCUCAACCUCGGAAUUGCAUUUGAAACUGGCAAACUAGAGUACUGUAGAGGGGGUAGAAUUUCAGGUGUAGCGGUGAAAUGCGUAGAGAUCUGAAGGAAUACCGGUGGCGAAGGCGGCCCCCUGGACAGAUACUGACACUCAGAUGCGAAAGCGUGGGGAGCAAACAGGAUUAGAUACCCCUGGUAG
This 455-nucleotide ribosomal RNA is filed under the name uncultured bacterium. RNAcentral's name for it is "bacterial SSU rRNA". It matches the Rfam family "Bacterial small subunit ribosomal RNA", at positions 346 to 793 of the family's 1533-position model. The record is from RNAcentral.